AAAAGCUUCCUCCCUCCUUCCUGCCCCUCAGGGCUCUGGCUGCUCUCUGCUCAGUCUCUGAAGGCCAGGAUGAGCUCCCCAUGGCAGCUGCUCUGGCUCCUGGUGCUCUGGGCUCAGGAUUCCCAGGGAGCCAUUGUGCUGAGCCAGUCUCCAGCCUCCUUGUCCGGAUCUCCAGGAGAGACAGUCACCAUCAGCUGCAAGGCCAGUGAGAGUGUUGGUGGCUCCUUGCACUGGUACCAGCAGAAACCCGGCCAAGCCCCCAGGCUCCUCAUCUCCCAUGCUGAUAUUCUGCAACCUGGUGUCCCUGCCCAGUUCAGUGGCCGUGGGUAUGGGAGUGAUUAUACCCUCACCAUCAGCAGCCUGGAGCCUGAGGAUGCUGCACAUUAUUACUGUCAACAGAGUAAUAGCUCCCCUCUCCCACAGUGCUUCAGGCCCGAACAAAAACCUCCCCAGUGCAUCCAGGGGACUCAGCUCAGAGCAGCAGACUUCGAAGUGCAUCUAGUCCAGCCCAUGACUGUGCCCCCCGAGAUCUGCCAGUUUGUGCCGGGCCUGAGCUGUUUCACCUCCGGGAUGGAGGAAAUUGUGGGAACUUGA
This is a non-coding RNA of Antechinus flavipes (yellow-footed antechinus), 594 nucleotides long. The record is from the annotation of a RefSeq genome assembly. NCBI's taxonomy places the organism in Eukaryota, Metazoa, Chordata, Mammalia, Dasyuromorphia, Dasyuridae.